RNA transcript from Hirundo rustica (Barn swallow), 3746 nucleotides. It is a transcript of the gene named actin binding LIM protein family member 3, with no coding region annotated. The transcript is spliced from 22 exons. NCBI's taxonomy places the organism in Eukaryota, Metazoa, Chordata, Aves, Passeriformes, Hirundinidae. The record is from RefSeq and is a predicted model, not a curated record.
CUCCGCCGGGAUCCUCCCCGGGGCCGGUCCCGGCCGCCCCCCGCGUCCCCUCCCCGCCAGCCGUGACCUUGGCAUCCUCCGGCCGCGGGGACGGCGCCGGGGACGGCCGCCGUGGGAUGCGUUAGGCGGCGGAUCGCACGGGAAUAUUCCCCCCCAAGGGAGAAGGAGAGCGGCAGCCUCCUCCCGCGGCCGGGGAGCGGCAGGAAAAGCGGAUUUAAAGAGCAUCUUUGGCCCCUUUGUUGGAUGAGAAGGACGGGGAAGGAGCGGCAGGAUGAGCACUAGCACAGUUCCCUACCAGCAGAACCCCUACAGCCCCGGGAGCAGCUCCUCUGCCAUCCAGUGCUACCGCUGCGGGGACACCUGCAAGGGCGAGGUGGUGCGCGUGCAGAGCAACCACUUCCACAUCCGCUGCUUCACCUGCCAAGUGUGCGGCUGCGACCUGGCCCAGUCGGGCUUCUUCUUCAAGAACCAGGAGUACAUCUGCACGCACGACUACCAGCAGCUCUACGGGACCCGCUGUGACAGCUGCGGGGACUUCAUCACCGGCGAGGUGAUCUCGGCCCUGGGCAGGACCUACCACCCCAAGUGCUUUGUCUGCAGCACCUGCAGGAAGCCGUUCCCCAUCGGAGACAAGGUGACGUUCAGCGGCAAGGACUGCGUCUGCCAAAACUGCUCCCAGGCCCUCCUCAGCACCAAGCCCAUCAAGAUCCACGGGCCCAGCCAGUGCGCCGGCUGCAAGGAGGAGAUCAAGCAGGGCCAGUCCCUGCUGGCCCUGGAGAAGCAGUGGCACGUCAGCUGCUUCAAGUGCCAAACGUGCGGGAUCAUCCUCACCGGCGAGUACAUCAGCAAGGAUGGCAUCCCCUACUGCGAGUCCGACUACCACGCCCAGUUCGGCAUCAAGUGCGAGACCUGUGACCGCUACAUCAGCGGCCGCGUCCUGGAGGCAGGAGGGAAGCACUACCACCCCACCUGUGCCAGAUGUGUGCGCUGCCACCAGAUGUUCACAGAGGGAGAGGAGAUGUACCUGACAGGCUCUGAAGUGUGGCACCCCAUCUGCAAGCAGGCAGCCAGAGCAGAGAAGAAGCUGAAGCACAGAAGGACGUCGGAAACCUCCAUCUCCCCCCCUGGCUCCAGCAUCGGCUCCCCAAACCGCGUCAUCUGCGCUAAAGUGGAUAAUGAGAUCCUUAAUUACAAAGACCUGGCAGCUCUUCCCAAGAUUAAAGCCAUCUAUGAAGUGCAGCGUCCUGACCUCAUUUCCUACGAGCCCUAUCACAGAUACACGUCGGAUGAGACGCUGGAGAGAUAUAGCUAUGGGGAGUCCCUGGGGACCCUCUCCCCAUACUCACAGGACAUCUACGAGAGCUUUGACAUGCGGCAGAGACGAGCCUCCAGCCCCGGCUACAUCGACUCCCCCACCUACAGCCGCCAGGGCAUGUCCCCCACCAUCCCCAGGUCCCCGCACCACUUCUACCGCUCAGGCACCGAGAGCGGGCGCAGCUCCCCCUACUAUAGCCAGUUAGAUGUGAGGUCCUCCACUCCAACCUCAUACCAAGCGCCCAAGCAUUUCCACAUCCCAGCUGCCGGCGAGAGCAACAUCUACAGGAAGCCCCCCAUCUACAAGCGCCACGCCACCAAAAGCAAAACCAGCGAGGACAUCGCGCAGUCAUCCAAGUACAGCCCCGCCUACUCCCCAGACCCCUACUACCACUCCGAGUCGGAGUACUGGUCCUUCCAAGGCUCCCCCAAAGCUCCCCGGGCCCGGAGGUUCUCGUCGGGUGGCGAGGAGGAUGGGUAUGACCGGGGCAUGCACAAGAUCCAGAGUGGAAUCGGGAGGCUGAUCCUGAGGGAGGAGAUGAAGGCUCGGUCCAACUCCUACGCAGACCCCUGGACCCCCCCUCGCAGCUCGGCCAGCAGCAGAGAGGCCCUGCACACAGCGGGCUACGAGGGCUCCCUCAACGGCUCUCCCCGAACCCACUACCUGGCCGACAGCGAUCCCCUCAUUUCGAAGUCGGCCUCCCUUCCUGCCUACAGGAGGAACGGGCUGCACAGGCCUCCCAGCGCCGAGCUCUUCCACUACGACAGCACCAACGCCGUCAACUGGGGGAUGCGAGAGUACAAGGUAAGAGCUCUCUGCAAGGAGCGCCAGCCGGAGGUGGGAGUGUCCGUGUGUCCGUGUGUCCCUGUGUCCGUGUGUCCGUGUGUCCCUGUGUCCCUGUGUCCCUGUGUCCCUGUGUCCGUGUGCCCCUGUGUCCGUGUGUCCCUGUGUCCCUGUGUCCCUGUGUCUGUGUGUCCCUGUGUCCCUGUGUCCCUGUGUCCCUGUGUCUGUGUGUCCCUGUGUCCCUGUGUCCAUGUGUCCCUGUGUCCCUGUGUCCGUGUGUCCCCGUGUCCCUGUGUCCCUGUGUCCCUGUGUCCCUGUGUCCCUGUGUCCGUGUGUCCCUGUGUCCAUGUGUCCCUGUGUCCGUGUGUCCCUGUGUCCCUGUGUCCCUGUGUCCCUGUGUCCAUGUGUCCCUGUGUCCCUGUGUCCCUGUGUCCCUGUGUCCCUGUGUCCCUGUGUCCGUGUGUCCGUGUGUCCGUGUGUCCAUGUGUCCAUGUGUCCCUGUGUCCCUGUGUCCCUGUGUCCCUGUGUCCGUGUGUCCCUGUGUCCGUGUGUCCCUGUGUCCCUGUGUCCCUGUGCCCCUGUGUCCGUGUGUCCCUGUGUCCCUGUGUCCCUGUGUCCGUGUGUCCCUGUGUCCAUGUGUCCAUGUGUCCAUGUGUCCCUGUGUCCCUGUGUCCCUGUGUCCGUGUGUCCGUGUGUCCCUGUGUCCCUGUGUCCCUGUGUCCGUGUGUCCCUGUGUCCCUGUGUCACUGUGUCCGUGUGUCCCUGUGUCCCGGUGUCCCUGUGUCCCUGUGUCCCUGUGUCCCUGUGUCCCUGUGUCCGUGUGUCCCUGUGUCCCUGUGUCCCUGUGUCCCUGUGUCCCUGUGUCCGUAUGUCCCUGUGUCCCUGUGUCCAUGUGUCCCUGUGUCCCUGUGUCCCUGUGUCCCUGUGUCCCUGUGUCCAUGUGUCCCCGUGUCCGUGUGUCCCUGUGUCCCCGGGCUCUCCAGAGGGAAGCUUUGCCCCCUGCCUUUGUUCCCCUCCACCGUGGGGCUGACGGAGCCCCCGCCCCGCUGCCGGUGCCGGGCUGAGCGCUGAGCGCUGAGCGCUGAGCGCGGCUGUCCCCCGGCCGAGGAGCAGAGCACAACCGAGGGAGGUUGUGCUGCCGGCGUCCUGCUCGCACCCGUGCCUGGGUCACUCCUGCUUUUACAGAGCGAGCAGGUUAUUCCAGAGCCACCACGGAGACUGAGGGUGGAUCAGAGUCACCCCGGGAGCAAUUCCCACCUCUCCCCGUCCCGUCCGAGCCCCGGGGUCAGCUGUGCCACCCAAGCCUGUUAAACACAGCCCGAGGCUUUGCCCUCUGCUCCCAAGCGUGCCCCAAGUGUCUCGUGGCUGCCCCGUGGUGUCCCUGUCCCCUGUGCAGAUCUACCCCUACGAGCUGCUCCUGGUGAAGACGAGGGGGAGGAACCAGCUGCCCAAAGACGUGGACAGGACUCGGUUAGAGAGGCACCUGUCCCAGGAGGAAUUCUACCAGAUCUUCGGGAUGACCAUGGCCGAGUUCGACCGCCUGGCGCUGUGGAAGAGGAACGAGCUGAAGAAGCAGGCCCGGCUGUUUUAAAUGCAGUGCACUAUAAAUAUAUACAUACCUAUAAAUAUAUACAUAGAGAGACCUCUA